This 396-nucleotide ribosomal RNA is filed under the name uncultured Rhizophagus. Its description in RNAcentral is "eukaryotic LSU rRNA". Lineage: Eukaryota; Fungi; Glomeromycota; Glomeromycetes; Glomerales; Glomeraceae. The record is from RNAcentral.
GUGAAAUUGUUGAAAGGGAAACGAUUGAAGCCAGUCGUACUGACGGGUAAUCAACCUUUCGGGAGUGAUUCUGUGGGUUAUGUUGAGCUUCACGGCCCUCAUGUUCUGCAUAUUCGUCCCCCUUGGGUGUACUUACCUGCUGGUAGGUUAACAUCAAUUUCGGUCGUCAUAAAAUGACGGGAGGAAUGUAGCUUCGAUCUCGGUUGAAGUGUUAUAGCCUCUGGUAGAUGUGAUGAUCGGGAUUGAGGAUUGCAACGGAUACCCUUUGGGCUACCCGCCUGAUUUCUGAUGGUUACUCUGGUGCCGAAAGCGUGCUUACGGUCAUCAAAGUUAAUGGUCAAAAGGUUAGAACGGGUUAAAUUCGUUAAGGAUGUUGACGUAAUGGCUUUAAACGAC